RNAcentral lists this ribosomal RNA (497 nucleotides) under uncultured bacterium. RNAcentral's name for it is "partial 16S ribosomal RNA". It matches the Rfam family "Bacterial small subunit ribosomal RNA", at positions 28 to 507 of the family's 1533-position model. The record is from RNAcentral.
GAUGAACGCUGGCGGCGUGCCUAAUACAUGCAAGUCGAGCGAACAGACGAGGAGCUUGCUCCUCUGACGUUAGCGGCGGACGGGUGAGUAACACGUGGAUAACCUACCUAUAAGACUGGGAUAACUUCGGGAAACCGGAGCUAAUACCGGAUAAUAUAUUGAACCGCAUGGUUCAAUAGUGAAAGACGGUUUUGCUUUCACUUAUAGAUGGAUCCGCGCCGCAUUAGCUAGUUGGUAAGGUAACGGCUUACCAAGGCAACGAUGCGUAGCCGACCUGAGAGGGUGAUCGGCCACACUGGAACGGAGACACGGUCCAGACUCCUACGGGAGGCAGCAGAAGGGAAUCUUCCGCAAUGGGCGAAAGCCUGACGGAGCAACGCCGCGUGAGUGAUGAAGGUCUUCGGAUCGUAAAACUCUGUUAUUAGGGAAGAACAAAUGUGUAAGUAACUAUGCACGUCUUGACGGUACCUAAUCAGAAAGCCACGGCUAACUACGUG